GGCAACGCCCGAUCCUUCACCCACUGAUCGAGGUCAGGGAUCGAACCUGCAUAUUCAUGGAUCCUAGUCAGGUUCUUUAACCGCUGCGCCACGAAGGGAAUGCCUCGCUCCUUCGUUUUAGACUCACUUAACUGCUUCUGGACGUCUUGGCUUGGACGUUUCACAGGUGCUUCAAACGACAUCACAAAACCCCAACUCAUGACCUUCUCCCCCAAGCUUCUCCCCCAUGGAGUCCCGAUGGGAUGAGUACCAUCACCAUCUAUCCAGCUGCCUGUAACGCACAUGUGUAACGCUUAACUGUAACACACUUAAACUGUAACACAUAUUUACACAUAGGCUCCUUGGAGACAAGGAAUUUAUUUACCUUUGUAUCCCCAACACCAGGCCCUCUGCUCAGUGAGAAGUACAGUCCAUUUAUGAUCAGCACCGCUGGAUAGCAGUGCUUCCAAGGCCUCCUUGUUUUUAUCUCUGUCUCACAAAAUCAGGCAGACACUUCCUAACCCGGGCUCUGUUGCCAUCCAGACAGGCCCAGCCACAUGGCAAAUAAGCUUUCGGGGAGGUGAAUUUUCAAGGUGCUCUUUGAAGCUCACCUUUCCAAUAGCCAAGGAACGUGCUCUGUCGUGAAAGUGGUCUAUGCCCCCACCCAGGAAAAUUCUCUGGGUCUCAGAGGCCUGAGUAAUAUGAUUUAAGUGUAUUUAUUUUCUUCAUUGAAAUAGAGUUGAUUUACAAUGUUGUGUUCAUUUCUGCUGUACAGAAUUACAGAAUAUUACAUGGCAUAUCCUUUUCCAUUAUGGUUUAAUCAUGGAAUAUUGAAUGUAGUUCCCUGUGCUCUCUGGUAGGACCUUGCUGUUUAUCUACCUGCGUUUAAAUCGUGCUGCGGUGCUCCGAGGUGAGAAGCACUGACAGUGAAGCGAGUACUGCCUGUAAGUAGUAGUGCUAUUUAGUUACUUGUCUCAAACUUGUUCAGCUGAUAUUUAUUGAGUGUUUGGUACGUGCCAGGAGCACUAUACUAGAUGCUUUACAUGUAUUUUCUCAUUUAAUCCUAACAAAGGUCGUACGAAAUGGGUUUUGUUAUUCUCCCCAUUUUACAGAUGAGGAAACUGAGUGACACACAGAGACCUCAAGUAAUUUUCCCAGGGUCACACAAAUACUUUGAAGGAAUAUAAAGAUGGUUUCCCAAGAUGCACUCAAGAGAAUUUCUCACAAUCCUUCUUACUGCUUAAGCCAAGGUGCCUUUUCUCCUUACAUCCUGGAGGCCAAUACUUGAUUACAUGGUAUUAGAAAUGUCAGCUAAUUAGAACUGUGAAAUCUGGCCAUCCUCUUAGGAAACAAAAAAAAAAUUCAUUGUCUCAUCAAAAAUGCACACCCAUUUAAAUGUAUUUCUUUAGAAUAUCUCAUAAGUUGAAACAGACCUGUCUUUGCUGUAAUAAGGUUGUGUACUGUCCAGGCCCCAGUUUGUAUCACCCAGGAGGUCCAUCCUGUUAAUGUCACCAGGCCUGCGACAUUAUCAAAAAGCUAUUGAUCAACAAUCCCUGAAACACCCAGAUACACACAUCCCUUGGGUGCUGGCGAGUGCUGUGCUCUGUCCUUGAGCUUCUCCCUCUCACCAGGGCUCCUCAACCUCCUCGGUGAACACCAGAGUCAUGUUCAAGCCUACUGCAGACAACAGACACCUGUCACCUGCCCAGAGCUACCCAUAUACCAUCAUACCAUCGCCAGAGCAGGGGUCUGACCAUCUGCAUUUUAACAAGAGUCCUUGGGGAUGGAUGCGAGUCAGCACUAACCACUACUCUUCCCCGCCCCCUGGUCCUCUCAUCCAACCCACAGCUUCCAACACCAUCUGUCUCCAGCCAAGUCUGUCCAGAGUUUCAAGCCCUUGCUCCAGCCUGAACAGCUUCAUCUAGACAUCCCACAGGCAACUCAGACCAACACAGUUUGGGGGCUUUAAGGAGGUACCCUUAAAAAGUAGCUCUCUUUUCGUGAGCUCUGAACCAACCGAGAAAUGAGGUCCAAAAGUCAGCAGUCGAAUACAGCACCCUGAUGAAAGAAAAGCAGUCAUUUGGGGAUGAGCUUAGGAAAAUGGGCUUCCCAAUUUUCUGCCUCCAAGCGCAGGUCACCCAAGGGAAUCAGAUGUGCAGAGAGGACCCUUGCCUUCCGUGGUCAAGGAUGGAGAGGCAGGAGGAAAGGGCUGGGCCCCCCACACUACCUUCACCCUAAGAAACACGGACAAACUGAAACUGACAGCACGAACGGCCCGAACCUAGACAGAACACAGAUUGGGACUUGAACCCACGAGCCGGGACUCGAACCCAGCCUAAAGCCAGAUUAAGAUUUAAACCCAUGGUUUUAAAUUAGAAUCACUCACCCAGUGCCUGGACUCACUGAGGAUCAGGUUCUUCGUGUCUCUCGUAGAAGGAAUUCAGCGAGAAGCAAAGUGAUAGGCAAGAAAUAGAUUUACUGAGACAGAACACCUGCGAGAGGGCCAAGCAGGCAGGCGCAGAAGAUCUGCCCCAAGUUGCUGCUGAGCCACAGUUUCAGCAUCCAAGGGGAGUGGGGGUUGGAAAGGCCCACCUCUUCCUUUCUGGGAGUAGUAGCUCCUCCUUGGUAUCCGGUAAGGUCUGUAUUCAAAUCAGCAGAAGGGUGGUUCUCAAACUUGGUCUGAAUCUGAACGCAGGCCUCAUCCCAUCCCCCACCCAAUGACGCAGGGCAAUUCUCGCACCUCUACUCGUCAAGCAAGGCUACCCUGUUCUGAUGGUGUUCUUGAACUUACAGUGGCCUCCCGGCAUCCCCCAGGUUUCCCUCUUUAUCUAGGAUUCCCCCAUCGGGACUUCUACAACCACCUGUGCCUACUCCAUCCCUAUCAAAGUGGCUGCCGCCCAGGAACCAGGUACCUCACUCCAUCCUGGGACGAGAAUGAGAGCUGGGCAAAGGGUCAGCGGCAUCUUGGGAAAAUCCUUCACAGAAGCAGAGGAGCGGGGAAGAGGCAUCCCCUCUGAUGAUGUCACAGCCAGAAACCUUAGGGCCAUUUUCUCAUCUCCCACUGGCACAUCCAACAGGGAACAAGCCCUGUCCUCUUCACCCGCUCUUCCUGUGUAAGUGAGGCUUUAACGGCCUCUCCGCUGGGUGACCACAGGUUCUGACUGCCCUUCCAUCCUGCAUGUGGCAAUCAAGGGAUCUUUGGAAAAUGAAAAAUGGGUCACGCCUCACAUACACACUUAAAAGUCUUCAAUAGCUUGUUAUUCCCAGCAGGUGUUUUAUAUAUAUACAAAGAUUAGAAGGCCAAAGAGCAGGCCAAAGAAAGGUUUCUGACAGCCAAAUGUGGAGUCUAGGUUCUGGGGUAUGAGGUGGGGAGGAAAAAUGAAGCGGUUCUUGUAAAACUAAAAGUCCUUAAGGAAUCUCUCCUCUGCAAGAGGAAAUCAGAGUCUAAGUAGCUGCUGAUGCUGGUGAUGUCUGGACUCGGAGGUAAGAAGGGCUCUGGACUAGCUGGGGUCAUUCCUGUUGCACAUGUGGAGCGCCAUCUUGGAAUGGUAGCGUCCAAAUGCCCGAGAAGGGGGGAUUAUAGCAGAAGUUGAUCAGUACUAUGCCAGUGAGCGAGGGGGUCAGGGCCAGUGUCGUCAGGGGGUAAAACCCAGUUUCUUCUGCAGGACACUGGAGGUCUAUGUGAACCGCCUCUCGUCUACAUUACCAUUCUCAUCUCUCAUGAUGCCCUCCAACUAUCUGCCCCUCUAGCCUCAGAACCCGAAGCUGGCUUAAGUUGCCUGGCUGCUUAAUGCCUCCAUGCCUUGCCUCAUGGAAUGCCUGUCCUUCCCCCUCUGUGCCUGCCUGGCAAACUCCCACAGAGAAAUACUCUCUGACUUUGUCCAGUCACACCUCAGGCAAGUCAGCCACCUCCUCUGGUGAGUCCUCACUGCACUCCCUGGAGUUCUCUUACAGAACUGGCGACUUACACUACUUUUAGGUGUAUGUCUUCCUUCCCCUAUUAGGCGGAAAGCAACUUUAGGGAAAAGACUGGCUGAUACUGUUCUAUCCUCGAUGCUUCAGUUCUGAUUGGUCCUUAAUAAAUCUUGAUUAAAUAGUCUCUGAGCCCGAUGCAAAGCUAAUUGAACAACUAUUCAUACCAUUAAGAAUGUGCUGGUGAUUAUCAAAAGUCAAUCUUAUCCCAAGAAGUUUGGAGCAGCAUCCUGUCAUCUGUUCAGAUUUGCUUAGGAGAGGCAAGUGCUGAAGAAAUAGGAACACAGCAUCUCCUUGGCUCAGAGGGAAGGUUUCCAAUGCGAGAUGUUCUCUUCCCUCAAGUUAGCAAAGUUCCCCAGGAAUAGAGCCACCGUGAGGGGGAGCAAAGCAGCGUGGAGGUGAUAGUUGAAGUCCCAGGCCCCAUUCUCUGGAAAUGGAAUGACCAUGGCCAAUGUGCUAUCAAUGCAUUUAUUUUAUUUUUUAUUUUAAAAAGUUGGGGGGGUUAACAGAUGCAAACUAUUGCCUUUGAAUGGAUAAACAAUGAGAUCCUGCUGUAUAGCACUGGGAACUGUAUCUAGUCACUUACGAUGGAGCAUGUAAAAAAGAAUGUAUAUAUGUAUGUGUGACUGGGUCACCUUUCUGUACAGUAGAAAAUUGACAGAACACUGUAAACCAACUACAAUGGAAAAAAUAAAAAUCAUUAAAAAAAAAAUUUCGGCGGUGCCUGUGGCAUGUGGAACUUCCAGGACCAGGAAUCGAAACCAUGCCAUAGCAAUAACUAGAGCCACAGUAGUGACAGCACUGGAUCCUUAAACUGCUGAGCCACCAGGGAACUCCUGGAUGCAUUUAUUUUCACGCACCUCAAAUGUCUGAAAGGUGAAAUAAUCUCUUUCACAUUAAUCUGUCAUUUUAUCAAUCUGAACUCUUUAGAGCAGUGAUGACUAGAACUCUCAAUAACCCUAGAACCCUAGAACAAAAUGCCAGUGAUGCCCCCUAAAAUAAUCAUAGAUGGUUCGGUUACACCCAGUAGUUUUAGCAUUGAAUGGGCUGCCAUGUUCUCAUUCAUUCAUUUCCUCAUACAAAUGUUCACUCAUACAAUGGACCCCUAAAGCUGGUGACCACAUGCAGAUCACAAAAGGCAAAAUUGCCUCAGUAAGACGAGAGAGCAGAGCAAGGAGCUAAAAAGGGAAAAAAGCCUUUUUUUCCUUUUAAAGCCCCUGUGCCAGUUCUACAAAUGCAUCAUCAUUCUGAGAUUUUAUGAAGCAUGUUCAACUGUAAAUUCAGAGAACAUUUAAAGCAUGUUCAACUGUAAAUUCAGAGAAGGCAAAUACGGUUUUGAUUUUCCACGUCAGUGCUGGCCUGUAUAACUAGAAGAUGCUGGGUGACACCGACAGGGAAUUACCAAGUCUCUCUUGAGCAGGGGUGCUGCCCAUCCUCCACUACUACUGGUGGGCUUUGUCUCUGGCACCGGGCAAGCAGGCAGUGGCUGUAGCUGGUGCCAUCCUGAAUCCCUCACUCCAUGUGCAUAAUCUCAUAGCUUAUCAUCUCACAGUCUCAAAACUCUUCCAAAAUCCUAUAGCUGUAUCAUGGGUAAUCCUAUAGCUGAAUGAAAAAGGGAAGAGUCUUCAGUUUAUGUCUGCGUAUACUUUUACUCUUUUCUCUGGCAGGGUUUGCUCGUGCAGGUGUAAACUGGGCCCGCCUUGGCAGACGACCCAGAGAACCUGAGUUUAUCAAUACUCUAGACAAUGAAUAUCUUCAAAUCAAUUGCUGUCUCUGAUCCUUGUCUAUGCAACGGGUAAGCAUUUGAUUGCAUGCUAUCAGCACACAGUAGAGAAUGGCUGAGUGUAGAAAGCAAGCCCCACUAUUUCUUUGGCAGACAAUCGAGUUUCCUUUAAACAGAUCCAUCAAAAAUCAACUAAUAAUUUGAACUGAAUUGCCAAGCCAUUCACAAAAACAACCCAACAUUCACCUGCCCCACAAAUCCUGGGUCGGACACUUUUCUCUCUCCUGACUUGACUCAAAGAUCUUUUUUCACUUGCUCAUUUACUCAAAAGGCCUGUUUCACUUCCAAAAUUUAGAGCCUAAGAAUUUAAUCUUCAGUAAUCUAUUCAUUUAAAACAUUCUCUUGACCAUAAAAUGGAUCGCAAUCUAUAGUCUUUCUUACAAUGGCAAUUCCACUUUCCUAUUCAAUCUAUCAUUAAAAUUACCUCAGUUCUCACCCCCCCCCCUUUAAGGGAUAAAAGCCCAUUUGGGGUGGGGGGUGGGGGCUCUUCUCCCCCUUCCCAGCUGCCCUGGGAGCUAUUUGCCUUCCUGGAGUAAAGACUUUGCUUGCUUGCAAAAAAAAGAAAAAGGAAAAAACCCCUCAAUUUUCAGAGAAAGAGGUUUGUGGGGUUUUUGGGGGGUGGGGGAUUGGGGGGAUGUCCAAGUUCCUGGGUUUCUGGGCUAGGGAUCCAUUCUGAGCCACAGCAGUGACAACAUCAGGUCUUUAACCACUAGGCCCCCAGGGAACUCCCUUGACAUGUUAUGUUUAAGAGGGCAUCAAAAUUAUGCAAGGGUGAAAAUGUUCCCUAAAAAGGAAAAGUUUUUAAGUUGAAGUAAUCACAUGCAAAAAGUAACAAAAUGUAAUGUGGGGUUUCAGUUUAUUUUCCAAGUUUUACAGUAUAAAAAAUGUAACAGGUAAAGUGUUUUACAGUUAACUGGAAUGGGGGACCCAAAAGCAAACAAACAAAAAAAACCCAAAAUAACUCCGACGCCAGGUACCCUAUGCCCCUUAUAGCCUCUAACCUUGUUGCUGAUGUUACAGUGAGCAUAGGCUACAGGGCAUACGCCCUGUGAAUGUAGGUAAAUAUUACGGGCAGAUGGUUGCUGGUAGAGUAGUUCAUUCAUUCAUGUUUGAAAUGUCUCCAUAGAGCCCACCACCCAGGUCAUGAGAGAAAUCACUCUCAGAUUUUGUCAUACAUACCUAGUGACUGUGAGUUUUGCUAAACAGCAAAAUUGCCCCUCCUAGUUACAAAGUGCAGUAUUAACUAAUAAGAGGAAACACAAGACACCCCUGGCCACAUCUUUGCACAAACAGUCACGGCUCCGUCGGAGAGAGACAGAUGGUUUCAUCGCUGAGCUUGCUGGGUUGAUACUGGAUUCUAAAUCCAAAAGUGUAAACAUGUAAGGGGAACUCAACACAAAAUCGAUUGUCAAAUAAACUUCCCUGGAGUCAGACCCGGCCCGGGCCUCUCUGGUCUUCUCCGUAGCAUCUCAACGUCUCGGUGGAGGAAGCGGUCAUCACAGCAGGAGAUAAUUCACUGCCCCAGGGAGCCACUACCCACCCCGGCCCUCAUCCCGCUGCUGUCCUGCACUCUACGCAAUCGUUGUUGUAAACAACUGCUUUGAAAUCAAAUUUUGUUAAUCAUGUCAUAAUUCAGGAGUCCCAGAGGAGUUGGCUGUCUAGUGAAAGCCUAUUGUGAAUCUAUUAUAAAAAUAAGAAAGUAUCAGCAAAGUUUGGAUUUUCUUAUUAAUUUUUUAGAAGGAAGAUCAGUACAAAGUGAAUUUUCCAUUAUUUCUAUAACUGAGGGGCACUGGCACAUGAAAAGCAACUGCCACCCCUUUCCACCUGGCCUCUGACUUGAGGAUGAUGGGUUAACUGUCUAAAUUCCUUACAAGGUGAACUGAUCCGACUUGACACCUGCGGAUCAGAUGCCCAGGUCCUAUGACUAAAUUCCCUGAGCAACAGUCUCUGGCCCUCAGAGAUGAAGCUUUCCCAGGGCGAGGGCUUUGAGGGGUGGUUAAAAAAUCAGAAUGAAAGCUCAUGUUCACAGGGAGAGCUCAGAUAAAUACAGGCAAAUACAAAACGAGAUACUGUACAUUCACUUGUAUCCAAAUAUUGUCUCAGUGCCAAGAGAAGUGCCAAAGACACUCAAGAGAAAAGCCUGGGGCUUGGUCACGUUUGUCCCCAAGGCUCACGAUAAGAGUGUUUUUAUCCCACUAAAAUAAGGACAAAGCACGGAUGUUUUCAAGCUGAGGGACGUUAUCAGUUGUAGAUUCCUGGAGCCAUACUUUUCACUGCGCUGCUUCAGGUGUCAGAAAUCCGCGUUGUGUUGGGGAGACUCUCCGACAACCCACUGAAGAGAUUUAUGUUACAGGUGAAACAAAACAAACUGGGUUAUCGAAGCAGAAAUGGGACAGGCCUGGGAAAAGGGACACAGAGUCCUAGAAUCUAAUUUCAUGCGGUAGUUUUACACUUCCUAGCUACCCUCUGAACACGUGUCUUACUCAUUCCUAGUAAGUAGCAGUGCUGAGAGGUGUGUCACCAGCCCUUUCCGGUUCCCCACUAAAAGCAAACAGCAAGAGAGAAGACGGUAGUUGAGCAAACUGAACCAAAACCCAAAGACACUGGAAGAGACGAAAACAAUGUUUUCAGAGUCCUGUUUUACAUCUGCUGAUGAAACCUCUCGGAGGGCAAAUGUGGCGGGGGUGGGGGGGACAUAGUGUGAUGCAGAGUGCCUGCUGAGAGCAGCCAAGUCAAGGACAGAGGCCAGUCCCAAACCCUCCCGAGGCUGUGCUGGCAGGCAGUCUGUCUCCCAUCCCAACAGAGGGAAGCUGCUGGGGCAAAAUGUUGACAAAGCCUCAGAAAGAGGCCACCUCAGGUCAGGAGGUGGCUAAGUCUCAGCCCCUGCACAUCCCACACCCCUGCCCCCUGCGCCACCAAGGUGCACACCUGCUCAAGCCUGCAGGGCGGGACAGGCAAAAGCAAAGGGUGGCUGCCAGGAACUAUAGCACCAGUCCUACAGCGUGCAACACUAGCAGGGGAAGGGCGCCUCUCAAGUGCUUUCCAAUGAAAAUCCAGAGAAAUCUGCCAGCCUGGUAGAGCAGCUUUCCCCGGGGCCACAGCUCCCGUGCAAACCGACAAAGAACAGAAGCAUUCCACUGCCAAUGAACCCCAACCCUGGGUUCUGAAUUCAAGGUUAAAUGUCCUCAGAUCUUUCCUCCACAUCCCCAAAUGCCAAAUUAUUUAGGUAACACCUCAAGGUUCAGUGAGCCAGGGACUGGAAUCAAACAUGACAUUUGAAAGUUCAUUUACUCGCCAUGAGAGUUUAGGCGAGACCCUCCCUCUCUGAUCACCCAUUUCUCUCACCUGUAAAAGUGAAAUAACCCCCACCGUAAAGGAAUGCACAUUCCAGAACAGCGCCUAACUUAAAAGACCUGAUCAAUACGUCUUACUACCCUUCUCUCUCAUCUUUGAUCAAAAUCUGGCUUGGCAAAAAUGAGAUCCAAAGUCGGAUAUUCCGGGCAUCCAUUUGGUUAAAGCUCAAUAUGAUGGUUUCAAUGUAGCGGCUAUAGCCUCUCAUUCACCGCCGCACUGAAUACCAUUCAAAAACUGUGCUGUGGGCUUAAGAACGACUCAUGUUUGAUUUAUAAAGGAUUACGACAAAGUUAAUGGUAGGAAAUUCACAGCAGUGAUUUAUUUUGUGUAAAACAAAAUCCAUAAAGCAUACACACUACCCCGAAGUACUUAACACUAACGCUUUAGAACCGCAGGGUCUCUGUUGGACUAGUCAAAUAUUAUGGCUCCACUUCUGGGCUACUUUUUAGUAAUCAAUCUUUUUUAAAAUGAAGCUCAAUUUUUAGGUUCUAUUGAGAAAUCUACAGUAAGGCUUCCAGGGUCGUGAAAUUGCAAGAGUCCUUCUCAGGGAGCUUGACGUUUCUUUCUUUGUUUCUUGCUAUUUUCAGGUCAUAGGGUCCUGGGGCAAGAAAGAGCCUAAUGGACUUGCCUGCAGGACAGCAGACUCUCCAGAAGACAUCGCUGUGCUAAAGCCAUUUACUUUUGGGGGGAAGCCAGUGUAACCGAGGGAAAGGAAUAAAGGAAGGGCGAAGUAGCUGGCUUUAGAGUAAUCCCCCAGAAGAUGGGUGCAGUUAGGAAAUCUCUCCAACACAGAGCAUAUGCAGAAACACAUGAGCUCACAUCCACUCAUCCAUACAAACACAUCCACAAGUAAUUUUCUGAAAUACACACCCAUCUGCUUCAGAUAACACAGAUGUUUGGAUGUCUAACAUAAACAUGCUGUCCUGCUGCUAAUUACACUCAGAGAAACACUCACACACACAGAAACACAUAC
This is a non-coding RNA of Sus scrofa (pig), 10061 nucleotides long. Lineage: Eukaryota; Metazoa; Chordata; Mammalia; Artiodactyla; Suidae. The record is from RefSeq and is a predicted model, not a curated record.